RNAcentral lists this ribosomal RNA (253 nucleotides) under uncultured bacterium. Its description in RNAcentral is "partial 16S ribosomal RNA". It matches the Rfam family "Bacterial small subunit ribosomal RNA", at positions 524 to 776 of the family's 1533-position model. The record is from RNAcentral.
UACGUGGGGCGCAAGCGUUGUCCGGAAUUAUUGGGCGUAAAGAGCUCGUAGGCGGUUUGUCACGUCGGAUGUGAAAGCCCGGGGCUUAACCCCGGGUCUGCAUUCGAUACGGGCAGACUGGAGUGUGGUAGGGGAGAUCGGAAUUCCUGGUGUAGCGGUGAAAUGCGCAGAUAUCAGGAGGAACACCGGUGGCGAAGGCGGAUCUCUGGGCCAUUACUGACGCUGAGGAGCGAAAGCGUGGGGAGCGAACAGG